Molecule: non-coding RNA, 127 nt
Organism: Corynebacterium sp. HMSC04H06
Lineage: Bacteria; Bacillati; Actinomycetota; Actinomycetes; Mycobacteriales; Corynebacteriaceae
Source: Rfam
CUGCUGCAGCAUCGCUGAUGUGCGACGGAGUCCGUUGCUGCAGCAGAUAGUUUUAGACGUCCAUCGCACCGUACGAUUUUGUAAAUCAUACGGCCCGAACACGGGAGAGAACGCUGAGCGUUACAAC